ACGAACGCUGGCGGCGUGCUUAACACAUGCAAGUCGAACGGAAAGGCCCUGCUUUUGUGGGGUGCUCGCGUGGCGAACGGGUGAGUAACACGUGAGUAACCUGCCCUUGACUUUGGGAUAACUUCAGGAAACUGGGGCUAAUACCGGAUAGGAGCUCCUGCUGCAUGGUGGGGGUUGGAAAGUUUCGGCGGUUGGGGAUGGACUCGCGGCUUAUCAGCUUGUUGGUGGGGUAGUGGCUUACCAAGGCUUUGACGGGUAGCCGGCCUGAGAGGGUGACCGGCCACAUUGGGACUGAGAUACGGCCCCGACUCCUACGGGAGGCAGCAGUGGGGAAUAUUGCACAAUGGGCGGAAGCCUGAUGCAGCAACGCCGCGUGCGGGAUGACGGCCUUCGGGUUGUAAACCGCUUUCGCCUGUGACGAAGCGUGAGUGACGGUAAUGGGUAAAGAAGCACCGGCUAACUACGUG
This 467-nucleotide ribosomal RNA is filed under the name uncultured bacterium. RNAcentral describes it as "partial 16S ribosomal RNA". It matches the Rfam family "Bacterial small subunit ribosomal RNA", at positions 29 to 507 of the family's 1533-position model. The record is from RNAcentral.